CGCGGAGUGAAGCAGUGGUUGCUUGCGAGUCUCAUAAGCUCGUCUAGGUAGGUUCGAUUCCUAUCUCCGCUA
Molecule: transfer RNA, 72 nt
Filed under: Cyanobacteria bacterium SBLK
Lineage: Bacteria; Bacillati; Cyanobacteriota
Description: tRNA-Met
Rfam family: tRNA
About the family: Transfer RNA (tRNA) molecules are approximately 80 nucleotides in length. Their secondary structure includes four short double-helical elements and three loops (D, anti-codon, and T loops).
Source: RNAcentral